Molecule: transfer RNA, 71 nt
Filed under: Loxodonta africana (African savanna elephant)
Lineage: Eukaryota; Metazoa; Chordata; Mammalia; Proboscidea; Elephantidae
Rfam family: tRNA
About the family: Transfer RNA (tRNA) molecules are approximately 80 nucleotides in length. Their secondary structure includes four short double-helical elements and three loops (D, anti-codon, and T loops). Further hydrogen bonds mediate the characteristic L-shaped molecular structure. tRNAs have two regions of fundamental functional importance: the anti-codon, which is responsible for specific mRNA codon recognition, and the 3' end, to which the tRNAs corresponding amino acid is attached (by aminoacyl-tRNA synthetases). tRNAs cope with the degeneracy of the genetic code in two manners: having more than one tRNA (with a specific anti-codon) for a particular amino acid; and 'wobble' base-pairing, i.e. permitting non-standard base-pairing at the 3rd anti-codon position.
Source: Rfam by way of RNAcentral
GCAGUGACGGUUCAGUGGUAGAAUUCUUGCCUUUCAAGCAGGAGACCAGGAUUCAAUUACCGACCUUUGCA